UACGGGGGGGGCAAGCGUUGUUCGGAAUUACUGGGCGUAAAGGGUUCGUAGGUGGCCAACUAAGUCAGACGUGAAAUCCCUCAGCUUAACUGGGGAACUGCGUCUGAGACUGGAUGGCUUGAGUGCAGGAGAGGAACGCGGAAUUCCAGGUGUAGCGGUGAAAUGCGUAGAUAUCUGGAGGAACACCGGUGGCGAAGGCGGCAUCCUGGACCAACACUGACGCUGAGGAGCGAAAGCCAGGGGAGCAAACAGG
RNAcentral lists this ribosomal RNA (253 nucleotides) under uncultured bacterium. RNAcentral's name for it is "partial 16S ribosomal RNA". It matches the Rfam family "Bacterial small subunit ribosomal RNA", at positions 524 to 776 of the family's 1533-position model. The record is from RNAcentral.